Molecule: long non-coding RNA, 580 nt
Organism: Helianthus annuus (common sunflower)
Lineage: Eukaryota; Viridiplantae; Streptophyta; Magnoliopsida; Asterales; Asteraceae
Exons: 4
Source: RefSeq, a predicted model, not a curated record
UCUAAUUUUACUUAUGUGUUGAAAUUUUAAGUAAUUGCAGGUCACCUGAGAGUGACUUGAUGUGCUCUGUUUAGACACUAUGAACAUGUAACUUGUUAAAUUUAUAUUAAUCUGUUUUGAUUUUUAUGAUUAAAACAUAGAUGGAUGUGAUGUAUAAGAUUAUGGGAUGGAUGUGAUGUAGAAGAUUGUUAGUUUAAAAUGAUUGACAGGAUUGCACCAUGCCAUUGUAGAGGCACCCAAAAAUAUGUCCACAGGUCAUGUCUUGACAAUUGGAGGUCUGCCAGGUGACAGGGAAAGUCAGAAUAUGCGGUUGGAUCCUGUCUCAUCAUCGCUCCCCAUCUCAGGCCCGGAAGACAACCCCUAACCGAGUUAGACUUAGCCAACCUACUCUCCACUCUAAUAUGGUGGGUGCGCAAUGUGCAUAUUGUACUAGAUCCCUUCUACCCCAUAUGAGUGGAUCUCGACAAUCAAUUCGGCUCUUCACACCCAUAAUCAUAGUUACAACAACAGGAGCUACAAGAACUUCACUCUGCCCUUGAAGAAGCUAAAGCUGACAUUGUUUCCUCUUGGGUCCUUAAUU